AGUGCAAGAGAGGAAUAUGAGGAGCAGGAAGAUGAAGAUGGUGAUAAUAGGAAACUAGAGUUUGCUAUGGAAAUGCAAAAGCUAAACCUGAAAUUCUUAUUGCAAACUUUUGGGGAUGUUCUUGAAAACAGGAAAGAUAAAGGAGCCACAAAAAGCGUGGGAACUAUAAGCAAGUGGCAGAAUUUUAAGAGCCAUGAUAGUGAAUUCAGCUAUUGUAAUCCUAUAAGUCUCAUGGAAGAUGAAAGGGAAAUAUCAAGAAGGGAAAGG
Molecule: unclassified non-coding RNA, 267 nt
Filed under: Hevea brasiliensis (rubber tree)
Lineage: Eukaryota; Viridiplantae; Streptophyta; Magnoliopsida; Malpighiales; Euphorbiaceae
Source: RNAcentral